AUGGCUCAGUGAGGCCUUGGGACUGGCUCAGAGAGGUCGGCAACGACCACUCAGAGCCGGAAACUUGGUCAAACUUGGUCAUUUAGAGGAAGUAAAAGUCGUAACAAGGUCUCCUUCCCCGGGUGACACCAAGGAAGCCUUAGCAGCCCGAAAGGGUGAACCCCCGCGACUAUAAAACAGGGGAGGUUCUGAAAUGCUAGUCGGGCCAGUCUCUCCAGGACUGGGGCCCGGCAACACCGUCAAAUUGCGGGAAGCUCCUAAAGCUCCAACUACCAAGCGGCGUGGGAAACCACGCCGUGGCCAGGGUAAUGACCUCGGGUAAGGUAACAACGUUGGAGAUACUACAAUGGAUAAUCCGCAGCCAAGUCCUAACCCUCGUUCGCGAAGUAUGGAUGCUGUUCACAGACUAAAUGGUGGUGGGUGAGUUGUCACAACUUGCUUAAGAUAUAGUCGGGCCUCCGAGGAAACUUGGAGGGGUCAUCAAACGUUCCGUAGGUGAACCUGCGGAAGGAUCAUUAACGAGUUAGGGUCUCUCACGGCCCGACCUCCCAACCCUUUGUUUAACAAACAAUUUUUGUUGCUUCGGCGGGCCCGUCCCCCUGGGGACCGCCGGAGGACCGUCGAGAGACGUCCUCUGGUCCGCGCCCGCCGAUGGCCCAACUUCAAACUUCUGAAUGAAUCGUGUCUUGAUUGUCUAAGUCAUUGAUUAAAUACAAGCAAAAACUUUCAACAACGGAUCUCUUGGUUCUGGCAUCGAUGAAGAACGCAGCGAAAUGCGAUAAGUAAUGCGAAUUGCAGAAUUCCAGUGAGUCAUCGAAUCUUUGAACGCACAUUGCGCCCUUUGGUAUUCCGAAGGGCAUGCCUGUUCGAGCGUCAUUAUCACCCCUCAAGCCCACCGGGUUUGGUGUUGGACGGCCUGGUCGGAUCACCCCCGACCCCUCCUAAAGACAAUGACGGCGGCCUCGUGGGACCCCCGGUACACUGAGCUUCUUUAUUGAGCACGUAUCGGCUUUGUUGGGUUCCCGGGACCCGUUCCCUCAAUCUAUCAUCUCAAGGUUGACCUCGGAUCAGGUAGGAAUACCCGCUGAACUUAAGCAUAUCAAUAAGCGGAGGAAAAGAAACCAACAGGGAUUGCCUCAGUAACGGCGAGUGAAGCGGCAUGAGCUCAAAUUUGAAAUCUGGCCUCUUUGGGGUCCGAGUUGUAAUUUGUAGAGGAUGUUUCGGGUACCGCUCCGGUUUAAAUUUCUUGGAACAGAAUGUCAGAGAGGGUGAGAAUCCCGUCUUGGACCGGCGGUAGGGCCCAUGUGAAACUCCUUCGACGAGUCGAGUUGUUUGGGAAUGCAGCUCAAAAUGGGUGGUAAAUUUCAUCUAAAGCUAAAUAUUGGCCAGAGACCGAUAGCGCACAAGUAGAGUGAUCGAAAGAUGAAAAGCACUUUGAAAAGAGAGUUAAACAGUAUGUGAAAUUGUUGAAAGGGAAGCGCUUGCAACCAGACUUGCGCGCGGCGGUUCCCCCUUCCUUUUGGUUGGGCUACUCCGCCGUGUCCAGGCCAACAUCGGUCCUGGGGGUCGGUCAAAGGCCUUGGGAAUGUAUCUACCUCCGGGUCGACUUAUAGCCCAGGGUGUCAUGCGACCUCCCGGGACCGAGGAACGCGCUUCGGCUCGGAUGUUGGCGUAAUGGUUGUCAGCGACCCGUCUUGAAACACGGACCAAGGAGUCUAACAUCUAUGCGAGUGUUUGGGUGUCAAACCCGGAACGCGAAAUGAAAGUGAACGGAGGUAGGAAGCUUCGGCUGCACUAUCGACCGAUCCUGAUGUCUUCGGAUGGAUUUGAGUAAGAGCAUAGCUGUUGGGACCCGAAAGAUGGUGAACUAUGCCUGAAUAGGGUGAAGCCAGAGGAAACUCUGGUGGAGGCUCGCAGCGGUUCUGACGUGCAAAUCGAUCGUCAAAUUUAGGUAUAGGGGCGAAAGACUAAUCGAACCAU
This 1980-nucleotide ribosomal RNA is filed under the name Chaetothyriales sp. MP-2014. RNAcentral's name for it is "eukaryotic LSU rRNA". The stretch from base 1058 to 1980 matches the Rfam family "Eukaryotic large subunit ribosomal RNA", at positions 1 to 943 of the family's 3401-position model. Lineage: Eukaryota; Fungi; Ascomycota; Eurotiomycetes; Chaetothyriales. The record is from RNAcentral.